Molecule: transfer RNA, 72 nt
Filed under: Bos taurus (domestic cattle)
Lineage: Eukaryota; Metazoa; Chordata; Mammalia; Artiodactyla; Bovidae
Also listed under: 3 other names
Rfam family: tRNA
About the family: Transfer RNA (tRNA) molecules are approximately 80 nucleotides in length.
Source: Rfam by way of RNAcentral
UCCUUGAUGGCUCAGCAGGUAAAGAAUCUGCCUGCAAUGCAGGAGAUGCGGGUUUGAUCCCUGUGUUGGGAA